GAAUAUAAUCUUAUGGGGCAUUAUUGUAUUUUAUGUAGCCGCUAGCUAGCUAGUCAGAAAAUACUUUUUUGAACAUUUCGCAGGAUAUGUUGUAGACGGCAAAAGUAGCUGUGGGUGCUACAGUAGCGCCUGAAUCAGGACGUUGACAUGUAAAAAAAAAUAUAUAUAUCCAUUCUGGGAACAAGUAAAUUCAUAGCCAACUCAACCCUCUUCAGUCCAGGCUAAAUUAACCACGCGUUUACCUUCCUUCAUGCCACAUGACACACACCUAGCCAGCUAAGAUUACAUUUUGCCAUUAGUUUACACAGUGGCAAGAUGUAGUAGGUACCAAAUAAUAGAUUUCAUUUCACUAACAAUUUGUUUUUGCACAGGAUUGUGGCGAUUGCAUACUGCUACUGCCUUAAAUGGAACCACUUAAUUUCCAUCCAGGGAAGGGGGACCGAGAUUACUAGGUUUUAAUUAUAUUUUGCACGAUAUACCCCUCCCCACGCACACAUACCUGAACACUUGAAAAGCAGUUGAAACAGAACAGAGAUAGUGGUUCGCAUUUUUCUACUAUGGUUAUACUCUGUCAUCACACGUUGACUUGCUCCCAGACAAUGAGACAGGUUGGCACAACACCACCGGUGUAAUGCACUGUAUCAAAUUACAGACCAUGACAAAAGGUGCAGGAACUCCACAAUACUUCUGAGCUAAUAUUCUGCUGUGCAUCACAACAAGUAGAUCAUUUGAUGUGUCAAUACUCAGUGCCGAUCAGGCAGAUCUUCAAGCAGUGUGCCCCAGCAGACGUCGCAGUUGUGCCCUGGUUAACACCCCCUCACUGUGUGCCAACAAAGCUGUUUGCCAUAUUCAGGAGCUGAAGAGGCAACUGGAGAACUGGUGUCAACAGUCAGGAAAUGUUCAGCAUCAGAUGUCUCAUGAAAAACAGAAAAAUAGCAAAACUUUUAGGUAAGUAGUGUCGUGUUUAUCCAAUGUUAGUCUUCAUCCAAAGCUUUACAUUUACAGCAAUUAAAGGGAUAGUUCACCCAUAUUG
RNAcentral lists this long non-coding RNA (1033 nucleotides) under Oncorhynchus kisutch (coho salmon). RNAcentral's name for it is "lncRNA (ENSOKIG00005016431.1)". The record is from RNAcentral. Lineage: Eukaryota; Metazoa; Chordata; Actinopteri; Salmoniformes; Salmonidae.